GGAGGUAGUGACAAUAAAUCACAAUGCGGGACUAUUUAGUUUUGCAAUUGAAUUGAGAACAAUGUACAAGAGUUAUCGAUAAACAAUUGGAGGGCAAGUCUGGUGCCAGCAGCCGCGGUAAUUCCAGCUCCAAUAGCGUAUAUUAACGUUGUUGCAGUUAAAAAGCUCGUAGUUGAAGUGUGGGAUAAUGUAUAUUGGAUCUUUUUGUGAAGGUAUAUGUUGUCCCCCCUCCAAUUUCGGUCUGUGGGUAUUCAUUUACUUGCAGUUCGUGUUGGUCAUUUACUGUGAGAAAAUUAGAGUGUUCAAAGCAGGCAUUUGCUUGAAUAUAUUAGCAUGGAAUAAUAUUAAAAGGCUUGUAUGGUCGAUUUAAUUGGUUUGUUCAUAUAAGCAAGAUUAAUAGGGACAGUUGGGGGUAUUCAUAUUCAAUAGUUAGAGGUGAAAUUCUCGGAUUUAUGGAAGAUGAACAAGUGCGAAAGCA
Molecule: ribosomal RNA, 478 nt
Filed under: Blastocystis sp.
Lineage: Eukaryota; Bigyra; Opalinata; Blastocystidae
Description: SSU rRNA
Rfam family: Eukaryotic small subunit ribosomal RNA
Source: RNAcentral